GACCGAGGCGUUGCGUGUGGAGAUGUGAGAUGUAACCUAACCUAGGUUUUCAUUCCGGGCCUUCUAUGCCCUUGCGGGCCCAAAAAUAUAAAAGAAAGGGCGUAAUUUUACGCAAGCGUCAUUUUAC
Molecule: non-coding RNA, 127 nt
Filed under: Dinoponera quadriceps
Lineage: Eukaryota; Metazoa; Arthropoda; Insecta; Hymenoptera; Formicidae
Source: RNAcentral